RNAcentral lists this transfer RNA (76 nucleotides) under Burkholderiales bacterium. Its description in RNAcentral is "tRNA-Asp". It matches the Rfam family "tRNA". Rfam says of the family: Transfer RNA (tRNA) molecules are approximately 80 nucleotides in length. Lineage: Bacteria; Pseudomonadati; Pseudomonadota; Betaproteobacteria; Burkholderiales. The record is from RNAcentral.
GCCUCGUUAACUCAGCGGUCAGAGUGCCGGCCUGUCUAGUCGGAAGCCGCGGGUUCGAUCCCCGUACGAGGCGCCA